Callorhinchus milii (elephant shark) is the source of this 1833-nucleotide RNA transcript. It is a transcript of the gene named chemokine-like protein TAFA-5, with no coding region annotated. Lineage: Eukaryota; Metazoa; Chordata; Chondrichthyes; Chimaeriformes; Callorhinchidae. The transcript has 5 exons. The record is from RefSeq and is a predicted model, not a curated record.
GCAAGUGUGCAAGUGUGAGUGUCUCUCUGUCUCUGUGUGAUGCUGAGCUGUGAGAGGCGGUGAAGCUGAAUCUGUGCAAAGCUGUGCAAAGCCAAAGGAUCUGCUGCUGAUCAUGCUGCCCGGCUGGAGAGGGCUAUGUGCUGGGGCAGGGACAGGGAUCUGCUGUCUCCUCGUCUGGAUCUUCUACUCGCACUUAAUCAAAGAAGGUCAGUUGGCUGUAGGUACAUGUGAAAUAGUGACAUUGGAUAGAGACAGUAGUCAACCACGAAGAACUAUAGCCAGACAAACAGCACGAUGUGCUUGUAGAAGAGGGCAGAUUGCUGGUACAACCAGAGCCAAGCCAGCCUGUGUGGAUGUGCGAGUUGUAAAGAGCAAGCAGUGGUGUGAAAUGAUCCCCUGUUCAGACGGAGAAAUUUGUGGUUUAUUAAUAAACAAAUCAGGCUGGACCUGCACACAACCAGGAGGUCGAAUAAAGACAAUCACGGUGGCAUAACAACAGGGUGCACCAAGGACAAAUAUCUCAUGCAUUUGACCCUGGUGGUCACUGGGAGCACAGAAAGACUUGGAGAAAUUGUACUGAGGCAUGACUGGGCAAGUCAGAGAUUUCCCAUAGCCUGAUGCAUCCACCGACAAUCUUGACUCAGCGAGUGAUGGUGUAUCCCGGAUCUGAACUUCUGCAAACAAGGUUUCCUGACGAAUGCAUCAAAGGAGCAGUUCCUCGCCUGGGCAGCUUACUUUGUGUGUGCCACUUACCUCAGAGAGAGAGAGAGAGGGAGAGAGAGAGAAAACAACGAUUUUGCUGCUGUGAAUCUCCAUCUGUUGUCUGUCGCUCUGUACUUUUGUGCUGCACUGUUGGAUGAAUGUUUCCUCCAGCAUGGGAUUAAGUCUGACAUGGCCCAGAUGUUGGGUACACAUGCCUAGAAGAUGCAAACACCCGUACCUUGCAGGAGACGAGGCAAACGCUCCCUUUGUGGAUGGACCUCUGCCUGCCUAAUAAUUGCUACUUUCUGAUGGAAACCGACUGGCAGACAGUCCAAUUAUUUCCACUUCAUAAAGACUAGAUUCCUCUCGUCAGACAUCAAGGGAAGCUUUUAAUCUAAUUUAAUAAAAAAAUACUACAUCAGCAUGAUGAGCAUUCAACCACCUUUUCCUCCUGGACUCGGAACUAAUGACCAAAGAAGGAAAGACCUAUGAAGAAAAAUGGCAUUGUUCAACAAGGCUGUACUAAUUAUAAUUGCUCCAAGUUUUCAAUAAAAAGUCUGAGGACUGCCGCACACACCUCUGAAGGAAAGGAAAGUGUUUUUUUCAGAUGACGGUGAUAUGUUUAUAGCGGUACGCAGCUAAUAUUUCUUUCUUUCUGGAGAUGUUGGAGAUGGGAAUGGAAAAUGGCUUUUAAUUAUCCAAAGGACUGAACAGCAGAUGAGCGGAAAGCAAUGAUGACAGAACUCCUUUGGCAUACAAGGACCUCGACUGCUCUGAGGCAUGCGCUCACGCAUUUUUUUUUGUAAGAUUCUGCAGGUUUCGUGCUCUUAAUUUGUCCUAUCCUACCACCGCAGAGCAUUAGGUAAACUUUUGUCUGUCUGUUCAGGCCUGCGAUCUAUUGACCACAUCUUACCGCUAUGGAAUCCAGUUAAAAACAGCGAGUUCUUGUGUCAUUCAAACAAAAAAAGUCGUCAUUCCGUGUUUAGAGAAAGAAAAACCACUUUGUAAACCUCUAACAGAUUUUGUAUGUUGUAUCUUUGUAGGAAAUCCUAUUUAACUGUGUGUGUGCCCAUCAUGUAAGGCCUGCAAUGCCAUAAUGCCAAGCUGUGAUGUGAAUAGACUACAUCCCAU